RNAcentral lists this small nuclear RNA (30 nucleotides) under Arabidopsis thaliana (thale cress). Its description in RNAcentral is "snRNA_18981". Lineage: Eukaryota; Viridiplantae; Streptophyta; Magnoliopsida; Brassicales; Brassicaceae. The record is from RNAcentral.
CGGAGGACAUUGUCAGGUGGGGAGUUUGGC